UCGAUGAUUGUGUUGGUUCUGCACCUUGU
RNAcentral lists this small RNA (29 nucleotides) under Bombyx mori (domestic silkworm). RNAcentral's name for it is "ovarian small RNA-28477". Lineage: Eukaryota; Metazoa; Arthropoda; Insecta; Lepidoptera; Bombycidae. The record is from RNAcentral.